Molecule: ribosomal RNA, 440 nt
Filed under: uncultured bacterium
Lineage: Bacteria
Description: partial 16S ribosomal RNA
Rfam family: Bacterial small subunit ribosomal RNA
Source: RNAcentral
CCUACGGGAGGCAGCAGUAGGGAAUAUUGCUCAAUGGGGGGAACCCUGAAGCAGCAACGCCGCGUGGAUGAUGAAGGUUUUCGGAUUGUAAACUCCUUUUGUUAGAGAAGAUAAUGACGGUAUCUGACGAAUAAGCACCGGCUCACUCCGUGCCAGCAGCCGCGGUGAUACGGAGGGUGCAAGCGUUACUCGGAAUCACUGGGCGUAAAGAGCGCGUAGGCGGGAUAGCAAGUCAGAUGUGAAAUCCUAUGGCUUAACCAUAGAACUGCAUUUGAAACUGUUAUUCUAGAGUAUGGGAGAGGUAGGUGGAAUUCUUGGUGUAGGGGUAAAAUGCGUAGAGAUAAAGAGGAAUACUCAUUGCGAAGGCGACCUGCUAGAACAUAACUGACGCUGAUGCGCGAAAGCGUGGGGAGCAAACAGGAUUAGAUACCCCAGUAGUC